Molecule: ribosomal RNA, 253 nt
Filed under: uncultured bacterium
Lineage: Bacteria
Description: partial 16S ribosomal RNA
Rfam family: Bacterial small subunit ribosomal RNA
Source: RNAcentral
UACGGGGGGGGCAAGCGUUGUUCGGAACUACUGGGCGUAAAGGGCUCGUAGGUGGCCAACUAAGUCGGACGUGAAAUCCCUCGGCUUAACCGGGGAACUGCAUCCGAUACUGGAUGGCUUGAGUUCGGGAGAGGGAUGCGGAAUUCCAGGUGUAGCGGUGAAAUGCGUAGAUAUCUGGAGGAACACCGGUGGCGAAGGCGGCAUCCUGGACCGACACUGACGCUGAGGAGCGAAAGCCAGGGGAGCAAACGGG